GACGAACGCUGGCGGCGUGCUUAACACAUGCAAGUCGAACGGAAACGCCCUUCUUUUCUGGGGUCCUCGAGUGGCGAACUGGUGACUAACCCUUUACUACCCUGCCCUUCUCUUUGGCUUAACUUCAUGCCACUUGGGCUCAUACCGGGUAGGAGCUCCUGCCGCAUGGUGGGCGCUGGAUAGUUUCGGCGGUUGGGGAUGGACUCGCGGCUUAUCAGCUUGUUGGUUGGGUAGUGGCAUACCAAGGCUUUGACGGGUAGCAGGCCUGCGAGGAGGACAGGCCACAUUGGGACUGAGAUACGGCCCAGACUCGUACGGGAGGCAGCAGUGGGGAAUAUUGCACAAUGGGCGGAAGGCUGAUGCAGCAACGCCGCGUGCGGGAUGACGGGCUUCGGGUUGGAAACCGCUUUCGCCUGUGACGAAGCGUGAGUGACGGUAAUGGGUAAAGAAGCACCGGCUAACUACGUG
This 468-nucleotide ribosomal RNA is filed under the name uncultured bacterium. RNAcentral's name for it is "partial 16S ribosomal RNA". It matches the Rfam family "Bacterial small subunit ribosomal RNA", at positions 28 to 507 of the family's 1533-position model. The record is from RNAcentral.